Molecule: ribosomal RNA, 1507 nt
Filed under: uncultured Marinobacter sp.
Lineage: Bacteria; Pseudomonadati; Pseudomonadota; Gammaproteobacteria; Pseudomonadales; Marinobacteraceae
Description: bacterial SSU rRNA
Rfam family: Bacterial small subunit ribosomal RNA
Source: RNAcentral
UAGAGUUUGAUCCUGGCUCAGAACGAACGCUGGCGGCAGGCCUAACACAUGCAAGUCGAGCGGAAACGAAGAGGUGCUUGCACCUCUGGCGUCGAGCGGCGGACGGGUGAGUAAUGCUUGGGAAUAUGCCUUAUGGUGGGGGACAACAGUUGGAAACGACUGCUAAUACCGCAUAAUGUCUACGGACCAAAGUGGGGGACCUUCGGGCCUCACGCCACAAGAUUAGCCCAAGUGGGAUUAGCUAGUUGGUGAGGUAAUGGCUCACCAAGGCGACGAUCCCUAGCUGGUUUGAGAGGAUGAUCAGCCACACUGGGACUGAGACACGGCCCAGACUCCUACGGGAGACAGCAGUGGGGAAUAUUGCACAAUGGGCGCAAGCCUGAUGCAGCCAUGCCGCGUGUGUGAAGAGGGCCUUCGGGUUGUAAAGCACUUUCAGUAAGGAGGAAAGGUUAAGUGUUAAUAGCACUUAGCUGUGACGUUACUUACAGAAGAAGCACCGGCUAACUCCGUGCCAGCAGCCGCGGUAAUACGGAGGGUGCGAGCGUUAAUCGGAAUUACUGGGCGUAAAGCGCGCGUAGGUGGUUCGAUAAGCGGGAUGUGAAAGCCCCGGGCUUAACCUGGGAACGGCAUUCCGAACUGUCGGGCUAGAGUAUGGUAGAGGGUAGNUGAAAUUUCCUGUGUAGCGGUGAAAUGCGUAGAUAUAGGAAAGAACACCAGUGGCGAAGGCGGCUACCUGACCAAAUACUGACACUGAGGUGCGAAAGCGUGGGGAGCAAACAGGAUUAGAUACCCUGGUAGUACACGCCGUAAACGAUGUCAACUAGCCGUUGGGACUCUUGAAGUCUUAGUGGCGCAGCUAACGCACUAAGUUGACCGCCUGGGGAGUACGGCCGCAAGGUUAAAACUCAAAUGAAUUGACGGGGGCCCGCACAAGCGGUGGAGCAUGUGGUUUAAUUCGACGCAACGCGAAGAACCUUACCUGGCCUUGACAUCCAGAGAACUUUCCAGAGAUGGAUUGGUGCCUUCGGGAACUCUGUGACAGGUGCUGCAUGGCCGUCGUCAGCUCGUGUCGUGAGAUGUUGGGUUAAGUCCCGUAACGAGCGCAACCCCUAUCCCUGGUUGCUAGCAGGUAAUGCUGAGAACUCCAGGGAGACUGCCGGUGACAAACCGGAGGAAGGUGGGGAUGACGUCAGGUCAUCAUGGCCCUUACGGCCAGGGCUACACACGUGCUACAAUGGUGCGUACAGAGGGCUGCAAACUCGCGAGAGCCAGCCAAUCCCUUAAAACGCAUCGUAGUCCGGAUCGGAGUCUGCAACUCGACUCCGUGGAGUCGGAAUCGCUAGUAAUCGCGAAUCAGAAUGUCGCGGUAAAUACGUUCCCGGGCCUUGUACACACCGCCCGUCACACCAUGGGAGUGGAUUGCACCAGAAGUGGUUAGUCUAACCUUCGGGAGGACGAUCACCACGGUGUGGUUCAUGACUGGGGUGAAGUCGUAACAAGGUAACCG